Molecule: ribosomal RNA, 465 nt
Filed under: uncultured bacterium
Lineage: Bacteria
Description: partial 16S ribosomal RNA
Rfam family: Bacterial small subunit ribosomal RNA
Source: RNAcentral
GACGAACGCUGGCGGCGUGCUUAACACAUGCAAGUCGAACGGAAAGGCCCUGCUUGCAGGGUACUCGAGUGGCGAACGGGUGAGUAACACGUGGGUGAUCUGCCCUGCACUUCGGGAUAAGCCUGGGAAACUGGGUCUAAUACCGGAUAGGAGCCAUUUUUAGUGUGAUGGUUGGAAAGUUUUUUCGGUGUAGGAUGAGCUCGCGGCCUAUCAGCUUGUUGGUGGGGUAAUGGCCUACCAAGGCGGCGACGGGUAGCCGGCCUGAGAGGGUGGACGGCCACAUUGGGUCUGAGAUACGGCCCAGACUCCUAAGGGAGGCAGCAGUGGGGAAUAUUGCACAAUGGGCGCAAGCCUGAUGCAGCGACGCCGCGUGGGGGAUGACGGCCUUCGGGUUGUAAACUCCUUUCGCUAGGGACGAAGCUUUUUGUGACGGUACCUAGAUAAGAAGCACCGGCUAACUACGUG